RNAcentral lists this long non-coding RNA (801 nucleotides) under Brassica rapa (field mustard). RNAcentral describes it as "long non-coding RNA (BRAP_LNC004566)". Lineage: Eukaryota; Viridiplantae; Streptophyta; Magnoliopsida; Brassicales; Brassicaceae. The record is from RNAcentral.
GUUCACUCAGUAUUUGUCUAAAGACUUUCUUGCAAAGUCGUGGGUACAAAUGUGAUGAAAGACGUUUUCAUUAACAGUCUAUGUCUUUUUUGGCAAGCCGUGGGCACUAAUGUGACGAAGACGAAUUCAAGCACAGUCUUUGUGUAAGAACCUUUUUGAAAGCCGUGGGUACAAAUGUGAUCAAAACAUAUUCAAUCACAGGCGUUGUCAAAAGACUUUCUUGCAAGCCGUGGGUACUAUUAAUGUGAUGAAAACAGUCACUGUCUAAAGACUUGUUUGUAAGCCGUGGGUAUACUUCUCAUGACUUGUGAUCGUUAUUACACGCAACGGGACUUGGGACUAAUGUGAUGAAAAACUCAUUUGCUUCAUAGAGACUUCGUUUGAAGACUUCUCUCAAGCAAUGAAUCCGUUUUCAGUUACCAUCCAACUAGCCUUUGUUUGUCUAGAGGAUCUUUUUAAGUUGUGGUUGCUUGAUCCCACGCAACACAUUCAGUCUUAAGACUUUUUUUUCCGAAGCCGUGGGUAGAAAUGUGAUGAAGAUGUUUUCAAUCACAGUCUUUUAUGUCUGAAGACCUUUCUUGCAAGUCGUGGGUGCAAAUGUGAUGAAUAAUAAAUUUUCAAUCACAUUCUUUUAUAUCUGAAGACCUUUCUUGUAAGCCGCAGAUACUAACGCAAUCUACGUUUACAAUCACAGUCUCUGUCUAAAGACUUGUUUUCCUUUAAGCCGUUGGUACUAAAUUUUGUCACACUUUUCAUCCUCAAACAUCCUUUGCAUCAUAGAGCUGUGGGUAAGCAAAGGAU